GUAGGGAAUAUUGCGCAAUGGACGAAAGUCUGACGCAGCGACGCCGCGUGAGUGAUGAAGGCCUUAGGGUCGUAAAGCUCUGUUGUACGGGAAGAAAAAAAUGACGGUACCGUAUAAGAAAGGAUCGGCUAACUUCGUGCCAGCAGCCGCGGUAAGACGAGGGAUCCUAGCGUUGUUCGGAAUCAUUGGGCGUAAAGCGAAUGUAGGCUGCCAUUCAAGUCAGUUGUGAAAGCCCCGGGCUCAACCCGGGAAGUGCUUCUGAUACUGUUUGGCUUGAGUACUGGAGAGGAUAGUAGAAUUCCAGGUGUAGUGGUGAAAUACGUAGAUAUCUGGAGGAAUACCGGUGGCGAAGGCGGCUAUCUGGCCAUGUACUGACGCUGAGAUUCGAAAGCGUGGGGAGCAAACAGG
Molecule: ribosomal RNA, 408 nt
Filed under: uncultured Bdellovibrio sp.
Lineage: Bacteria; Pseudomonadati; Bdellovibrionota; Bdellovibrionia; Bdellovibrionales; Pseudobdellovibrionaceae
Description: bacterial SSU rRNA
Rfam family: Bacterial small subunit ribosomal RNA
Source: RNAcentral